GUGGGGGAAGAGCAUGUCACCCAAUCAUGAAGCUCUGUGGACAGUGAUGUAUCCAGAGAGAACAGAUAGGAUCCUAGUGUAAAUGUCGUCAAAGAGACUUCACCCAACAACUGAUGGUAACUGUCAUCAAGACCCAGAGCCAAACAUCAAGUAGAGUUUGUGGAAUCAUAUGGAGGAGAGGGAGGUAGGAACGAAGGAGCCAGAGAGAUCAAGGAUACCACAAGAAAAUCUACAGAAUCAUUUAACCUGGGCCUACAGUGGAUCUUAGAGACAUGCAUGGGAUGGAUCUAUGACCUCUUCACAUAUGUAAUUGUUCAACUGGAUCUUUAUGUGAUCAUCCUAAAACUGGAACAGGGGCUGUCUCUAACUAUAUUGCCUUCCUGUGAAUCCCUUUCCCCUAACUGGACUGCCUUGCUUAACCCGAACAGGAGAAGAUGAACCUCGUCUUAUGGCAACUUGAUAUGACAAGGCUGGUUGACAGCCACGGGAGGCUUCCCAUUUUCUGAGGGGGAGGUGGAAGAGGGGAAGCUGUAAUCAGAAUGGGAAGUAAAUAAAUAACUUUAUCAGUAAAAAAUUAAAAA
Non-coding RNA from Rattus norvegicus (Norway rat), 581 nucleotides. Lineage: Eukaryota; Metazoa; Chordata; Mammalia; Rodentia; Muridae. The record is from RefSeq and is a predicted model, not a curated record.